ACUCCUACGGGAGGCAGCAGUGGGGAAUAUUGCACAAUGGGGGAAAGCCCUCGAUGCAGCAACGCCGCGUGGAGGAUGACACAUUUCGGUGCGUAAACUCCUUUUAUAUAAGAAGAUAAUGACGGUAUUAUAUGAAUAAGCGCCGGCUAACUCCGUGCCAGCAGCCGCGGUAAUACGGAGGGCGCAAGCGUUACUCGGAAUCACUGGGCGUAAAGAGCGUGUAGGCGGGUUUGUAAGUUGGGAGUGAAAUCCUAUGGCUCAACCAUAGAACUGCUUCCAAAACUGCUUACCUAGAAUGAGGGAGAGGUAGAUGGAAUUUCUGGUGUAGGGGGUAAAAUCCGUAGAGAUCAGAAGGAAUACCGAUUGCGAAGGCGAUCUACUGGAACUUUAUUGACGCUGAGACGCGAAAGCGUGGGGAGCAAACAGGAUUGGAUACCCUGGUAGGAUAGCG
This 451-nucleotide ribosomal RNA is filed under the name uncultured bacterium. RNAcentral's name for it is "bacterial SSU rRNA". It matches the Rfam family "Bacterial small subunit ribosomal RNA", at positions 335 to 799 of the family's 1533-position model. The record is from RNAcentral.